GUUAUUUGUUAUUCAUCCACCAUGUUCAAUCAGUAAAAUGAUGGAACGAGCCUCCUGCUUUAUGUGGUGGCUUGUGAUUGGUAAUCAUCGAAAUGCAUCUAUUCUCUGUUCUUACCUCUCUAAUGCAUCGACUCUUGAGUAGGAAAUUAUACACUGGACACUGGAAAGAUACUGAAGUCAAGUGGUGAUGUAGAGGGAGGUGGGGGUGUGAACAAAUGUUAGUAAGCUUGAUUGUAAAUUGAAGAGAAAGGAAGUGUGAGGCAAAUUUAUGUAGCUAUUAAUUCUGAUUCUCAUCAUCAUAUUUCCAAUCUUUAAUUGCCUUCUUCAUCCUAUUCUGAACUUGCUUUGAUGCAAAUGGUUUUCUUUAUCGGAGUUGAUGGAAAUUGGAAAUUCAUAUGCAUCUUGAAGAGGGAAGAGCAAGGCAACACACACACACACAUUCUUCCAACGAAUAGUAUUCAUCUUGGUGCUGAGGCCGGAACCGUGAAGGUUGGGAGGGGAUUUUGCACCCAUCGAGGCUGAGGCCGGCGCUAUUUUCAAGAGUCUAGCUAGUGAAUUCAGACGCUGGCACCAUUCUAAGAGUAUGAUUAAUGAAUUCUGACAGUUUGAUCAGAGCAAGGAUAACAUCAAGUUAGAUGGUUGAAGGAUCUUCAUGCUAGUGGAUGAUCGCAACCACCUAUAAACAGUGUAAUCGGUUCAAUUAACACUGAAAAAGAUGUCCACCCAUAAACAGGUCCAUUAUUUAAAACAAAAAUCCAAUUAUAAUAUGGAAUUUGAGAGGGGGGAAAUGCACACACAGCACAAGACUCUGAUACGUUGCUACCAAGGUUGUCAACAGACAUGCCGUCAUUCAUAAUUUGUUUGUGGUAUGCAAGCCAGCUGGGGACAAUCUUGGAGGAGCAUGAUGACUAUUUCAUUAUUCAAUCCAGCACUUCUCUCUCAAAUCUACCACAAAACAUAAAGGAAGGAAAAAAUAAGGGGGAGCUGUUUCUGGUUGUAAGCAAAAUGGACAUAAAAGCUUUCAUGUGAAAGGAUUUGUACGGUAUCAAACAUUAAAAUAUCUUAAAAUAUCAAAAAUAUAUUAAUUUAAAAUAAAUAUUUUUUUUUAUGGGUUAACUCAAGAUUAGUUACCAUGUAAGUAAAUAGCUACCAUGCCGGGAAGACAAAUGCUGUCUAUUCCAUAAAUUUAUAAUCUUGAAAUAAUUUGUCAGUUUAACGAUAUAAAACAUACAUAUUAAAUCCGGAUUUUUUUUUGUGGGUUAACUCAAGAUUAGUUAAUCUGGUUGUUGAAUUAAUCCGAGUAAUGUAAAAAAGUUGGGAUAUAAGUAAAAACCUAGCAAAACCCGGUUGACCUGUGACUCAAAUAACCCGAUAAAACCUAAUUGAGAUUUUUUUUUUCAAAUGUGUUUUUUCUCCAAGAGCCUCUUUAUAUAUAUAUAUAUAUAUAUAUAUAUAUAUAUAUUUUAAUUGGUUAUUAAAUUUUUUUAAAGUUCACUAUAUAAAUACUAGAAGAAUAUUUUAUUUUUUUAAUGUGAAAUUUAAAGUCUUUUAGUAUUAUAUUUUAUGUUCACAAGAAAAAAAAAAUUUCAUUGUGGAAUUUGAAACCUUUUAGUAUAUAUAUAUAUAUAGUCUAUUCUCAUAAGAAAAAAGUUAUGCUUUUUUAAUGUGACAUAAAAAACUUUUUUAUUUGAAUACUUCAACUUAAAAGGAUAACAUACUAAUAUAAUAUCUUUUUAAUGUGGGAUAAAAAAUCUUUUGAAAUAAUAUUUUAAAUUUCAUUAUUUAUAACAUAUAUAGCCUAUAUUCACAUGUAUUCUUUCUUAAUUUUUUCAUAUGAAAUAUUACAACUUCAAAUAUUAUUUUAAAUUUUUUCAGGUUGAUCCAGAUCAACCCGUGUAACUCGAAACCCGACUAAACUUCUGAAACCGGUCUAAUAACCCUGAUAUAAAGUGUUGCAAGUUUAUAAACUUCAUGACGUCAAUUAUAAUUUCUAGAAGAAGCAAAGCAAAAAAAAAAAAAAAAGCAAAUAUAAUCAUGUAAAUAAUUUAAUAUUUUUUGUUUAUUUUUUUUAUAUAUCAACUUGAAGAUAUAAAGGGUUAUAAACCUAUAAUUGUAAUUUCCAAAACAAGAAAAAAAAAGGCGCAAACUAUAGGAAACUGAUUGUAAUUAACCUUAAAUUUAUUUAUAUCAUUUUUAAUCUUUUUAUUACAAUCCAAUUAUUAUGAAUAUUCUAGACUUCCCCUCUCACAGAGUACUUAAUUAGUACAAGAUUACAAAUUGAAAUCCUUACGAAGUACAGCUGAAGCAAGCAAUAACAACAACCAAGAAGGUUUAUCAUAUUAAUCCUCAUUAAAAGGGAUCAAUCAUACGAUUAACUGAUACUACUAAUCAUCUGCCAUUUUGAUUGAAGGGUCUUGAUAAGAUCAUCCAGAGCUUUAACAGAAGAUCCUUUGUCUUCUCCUUCAUCUCUCACUGAUGCCCUUAACUGUUCUUUAAUCACCAUUGCCUUGCUCCUCAUAUCACCUCCCUUCCCUUUCUUGUCCAUCACCAACUCUAUCACAUUCUUCACCACCUUCCAAUCUAUGCUGCUCUGCACUCCUCUUGUCAGCUCCACACUCACACCCAUCUCCUCUACCAGCAUUUUGGAAUUAUAGGCCUGUUCAGCGGCCAAAGGCCAUCCUAUAAUUGGCACAGCUUGGCUCAAGCUUUCCAACACUGAAUUCCACCCACAGUGGCUUAGGAAUGCUCCUGUGGACUUGUGUGACAAAAUCUCCAAUUGGGGCGCCCAGUUCCUCACCAACAAACCUUGUUUUCUUUUCUCCAUUCUUUCUUCAAAUCCUUCUGGUAAGUAUUCUGCUCUAAAUUCACUUUUUCUUUCAAAACCAACAGGAGGCCUGAUGACCCAGAUGAAAGGUUUCGCACUCUCUUCCAAGCCAAUAGCUAACUCCAUCAUCUGGGAGGGACUUAUGCUGUUUUGAGAACCAAAAGAAAUAUAGAGCACCGAAGCUGGACUGUGCGAUUCAAGCCAUUCCAUGCAUUUCUCAAUAGAAAUCUCUAGUCUUUUACCAGAACGUCUUGUGCUUAUACCUGAUGCAGCUACAGAUAAAGAAGAAUAAUCAUUCUUGAGCACAAUUGGUGGCAGAAGAGGCCCUAUAGCCCAGACAGGAAGUUUGACAAAGUUCCUCAACCAUUCCAAUCCUGCAGGCUCAAAUUCCUCAGCUGUAUUGCACAACCACCCAAAAGAUUGCAUUGAAAGUGAGAUCUGUGACUGAAAAAACUGAGACCUAGAAUCAGUGCCAUCAGCAUUUCUUAAGAAAUGAUGCAACUGAUUGAUGUGAAAGCGACAGCUAUCAGGAAAUCCCGGCAAAUGAAACUCAUCAGAAUCACUUCUACCUCGAUGAGGAAGAUUGAGCCAAAGAGAAGAGUAAGCCAAGGUUCCAUAAGCACCACCUGUAGAGAAAGUGACAUUCACAGUCCCCAGACUGGUGGCAACUUCAGUUGCCCAUCCAAGGAAAACAUCCGAUAUUAUACAAAGUGGGGGGUGACCUUGUUUAGCUGCAAUAUCAGAUACAAGGCUGUGAAACGGUGUCCUAAGACUUAGUGAUGCAGAGCAAAGUUUGCCAAUCGAAUCCAGAGACAAGUUCUCGGAGUUUUCAGUGUUUGGAGGCAAGCCAUAAUCAGUACUGCAAAAAGGUAGCUCAAGGAGGUGGAUAUGGUCAUUUUCUGGUUCAUCGGGCGAGGAGUUGAAGGUGGAAGAAAGGUACUGGAUGUUGAGAGGGGUGCUUGCAAUGGAUAUUUUGAAACCAGUUGCUUGAUGGAUUUGCCUUGCAAGAGCAAGAAAAGGUAUGAGAUGGCCAUGCGCCAUAAACGGGAGCAUCACUAUCUGUUCAAUAGAUUUAGACGCCAUUAAUAAUUUUGUCGAGGUUUGUGCUCAAACUGAAUUUGGCUCAAGAACUGGAUCUACACUGAGAUGGGAGAAGAGUGCUGGCCUCCUUACACACAUUCUUCCAACGAAUAGUAUUCAUCUUGGUGCUGAGGCCGGAACCGUGAAGGUUGGGAGGGGAUUUUGCACCCAUCGAGGCUGAGGCCGGCGCUAUUUUCAAGAGUCUAGCUAGUGAAUUCAGACGCUGGCACCAUUCUAAGAGUAUGAUUAAUGAAUUCUGACAGUUUGAUCAGAGCAAGGAUAACAUCAAGUUAGAUGGUUGAAGGAUCUUCAUGCUAGUAGAUGAUCGCAGCCACCUAUGAACAGUGUAAUCGGUUCAAUUAACACUGAAAAAGAUGUCCACCCAUAAACAGGUCCAUUAUUUAAAACAAAAAUCCAAUUAUAAUAUGGAAUUUGAGAGGGGGGAAAUGCACACACAGCACAAGACUCUGAUACGUUGCUACCAAGGUUGUCAACAGACAUGCCGUCAUUCAUAAUUUGUUUGUGGUAUGCAAGCCAGCUGGGGACAAUCUUGGAGGAGCAUGAUGACUGUUUCAUUAUUAUAAAUUUGUAAUAGCUCCUGUCUGUUAAAUAGAUUGAGGUUAUAUUUUUUAAAAAAAAAAUUAUAAUAAAAUUGUUUUGAAAUUUUAUUUUUUAAAAAUUAAUAAUUUUAACUGGAUUGUUGCAAACUUAGGUUGAUUUAGUCGUGAAUUUCAAGUUAAUUUUUUUUUAUUUUGAUAAUUGUAUGUAUUUAGACUAAUUUAUAUAUAUUUCGAUUAAUUUCUUGAUUAUGUAAGUUUUUAUUAAUUCUAAAAUUUAUAAAGUUUAAACUAUUAAUUUUUAAAAAACAAUCUUAAAAUUUAAUUAUUUGAGCUAGAUUUCUUACAGUUGUUUUUGCCAUUUCUACCCAGCACUUCAAGUUAAAAGGACCUAAAGGUGUCCAAUGCUGGGCUGUUAAAAGGACAUAAAAGCUGUCCAAUGCCUGAACCAGUUCAUGUAAAAAUGCUAAGAUGAAAGGACUUGGGGCAGUGUCAGCAAAUGAAGCUGCCUGCAAUAGCGUGUCCGUGUGGGCCGAUAUGGUUGCUUUCUCAUUUUAAAGGUGUGUUUGGUAUUAUUAUAAUUUGAAAAAUAUUGUUUUAUAAAAUGUGUUUUUAAUUGUGGUUGAUUUAUUAUUUAUGUGUAUUUAGUUACAACUGUGGUUGAAAUUGAGAUUGAAUAAAAAAUAGUUUAAUGUAUUUGGUUAAAAAAAUACUUUUCAAAUUGAGAUUAUAUAUAUAUAUAUAUAUAUAUAUAUAUAUAUAUAUAUAUAUAUAUAUAUAUAUUGAUGGUUUUAAAUUUAACUAUUGUAGAUUUAACUACUGCUAUUACAUCAUGAAAUAAAUAAUACUUAUAAAAUAUUUUUUAUUAUUCCAUUAAAUUAUUUAUAAUUUCAUCACGUACGAAAUUCAUCCGAUAAGGACUACAGUUUUCUUAGUUUCUUAAGCGCGCAACAACUUCAGGUAAAAUAUUAUCUGGAACAAAAUUGAGAUUGCGAUCAAAUUCUGCUAAUGCUACGUUAUUAAGCAAUCUCCUUCUAAUUUUUUAAAUAAAAAACAAUUAAAAAUAAAAAUAAAAUUGAAUUUUUUAAACUAGGUCGAACCCGGUUCAAUGCAUUUAACUUUGGACAAGACCCGGUCCGGCCGGAACAGUGGAGAGUAACUCCACUGUUCACGUGAACAAUGGAGUCACUCUCCACUGUGUCCGCAGGUUUUAUUUAAAUUUAAGUGAAUAGUAAACUGUGGUUUUGCAUUACCAAACAACAAACAUCUACGGUUUGCUUUAAAAGCUGUCGUAGCCGCGUAAAUAAACAGACACUCAAUUCCAUAAAUUUUAAUUUGUUGUUAUUUUAUUUUAUUUUAGAAAUUACAUUUUAUGAAUCAAUUUAGUUUUUAAACUCAGGAUAAAAACUCUCAUGUAUAAUAUAUCAAAAACAUCAAUGUUAUAAUUUUUCUCGUCAAUUUUGAUUUCUAAACAAUAGAGGUAGCAAUAGAAGAAGUCCAUGCUAUUGGUCUUAGGGUUUCUAGCAUUUGUUAAGUUACAAGAUUUGUGCACAACCGGAUCAAGAAAUUAGGUUUUGGAACGUAAUCUGUAUGUGUGUAAGAGAGAGAUCAGAGAAAAUGACUAUCUCCCACUAUUUGAAACAAAAGCAUCAAGAGCAAGGUUUUUUGUUCAUUUUUCUUAACGAGACUUCAUUUUCUGCUACUUUUUUCUUCGUAUGCUUAUGUUAUAGUUAUCAAACCCUACCACUUAUUGACCUGAAUUAAUUUGAAAAAAUAAAUAAAAAAAUAUAUUUGAAGUUUUAAUAUUUUAUAUGAAAAAAUUAAAAAUAAUUCAUGUAAAUAUAAGCUAUACAUACUAUAAAUAAUAAAGUUUAAAAAAUUAUUUCUAAAGGAUUUGUAUCUCACAUUCAAAAGAUACUAUUUUAGUAUGUUAUCUUUUCAACUUGAAAUAUUUAAAUCAAAAAUAUUUUUUAUUCUACAUUAAAAAAUUUAAAGCAAAAAUAUUUUUUAUUCUACAUUGAAAAAACAUAAUUUUUUUCUUAUGAAUAUAAAGUAUAUAUAUUAAAGGGCUUCAAAUCCGACACUAAAAAAAUAAAAUAUUUUUCUAAUAUUUAGAUAAUGAACUUUUAAAAGAGUUAACCAACUAAAAUAUAUAUAUAUAUAUAUGGGAUUUUUGGCUAGGAGAAAAAACACAUUUGAAAAAAAAACUAGAUUUCAACCAGGUUUUGCCGGGUCGCCCGGGUCACGGGUCAAUCCUAUAGGCCAACUGGGUUUUGCCGAGUUUUUGCUUAUCCCGGUCUUUUACCUUACCUGGACUAGUCUAGCUAUCGGGUCGAGCAGAUCUCAGACCAACUCGCUAGGCCGGUCUAAUUUUAAUAACUAUGGUUUAUACCGUUGUAUUGGAUCUAUAGUGGUGUUGGGCUAAAACUAAUGAUUUUGUGAUCUAUGCUUUCUCCCUUUUAGGCUUGCUGGAGAUUGAAAAGUAAAAAAAUAAAAAUAAUGGUUUCAAUUAUUUCAUGUGAACUUGCUGGAGAUUGAGAAAAUGGAGGAAGAAGAACUUAUCCAUGGUGUCUAUGGUUUUUGUUUAGUUGAAUGGAAACUUUAUAAUAUUAAUAUUGCGAGGCUUUUCAUUAAAUGAAAUGUGAUAACACUUUUAUAAAUAAUUCAAUAUUUUUUGUUGAUUUUUUUUUAUAUGUCAUUGUAAGGAUGUAAAGAGUUGUAAAAUUAUAAACUUUAUGACGUAAAAUAUAAUUUUUAGAAGAAGCAAAAUGAAGAAAAUGAGCAAAUAUAAUCCUGUAAAUAAUCCAACAUUUUUAUUUUUUAUUUUUUUAUAUGUGCCAGCUUGAAAUUAUUUUUGCUCCAACUUGGUAACAGAGGGAAUAAAAAACAUAUGAUUAUUAUCAAUAUGCUCCAAUACUUGGUAACAGAGGGAAUGAAAAACAUAGUAAAAUUGAAGAAAGCAAUAACAACAAACAAGAAGGUUUAUCAUCUUAAUUAAUCCUCAUUAUAAAGGAUCAAUCAUAUGAUUAACUGAUACUACUAAUCAUCUGCCAUUUUGAUUGAAGGGUCUUGAUAAGAUCAUCCAGAGCUUUAACAGAAGAUCCUUUGUCUUCUCCUUCAUCUCUCACUGAUGCCCUCAACUGUUCUUUAAUCACCAUUGCCUUGCUCCUCAUAUCACCUCCCUUACCUUUCUUGUCCAUCACCAACUCUAUCACUUUCUUCACCUCCUUCCAUUCUAUGCUGCUCUGCACUCCUCUUGUCAGCUCCACACUCACACCCAUCUCCUCUACCAGCAUUUUGGAAUUAUAGGCCUGUUCAGCGGCCAAAGGCCAUCCUAUAAUUGGCACAGCUUGGCUCAAGCUUUCCAACACUGAAUUCCACCCACAGUGGCUUAGGAAUGCUCCUGUGGACUUGUGUGACAAAAUCUCCAAUUGGGGCGCCCAGUUCCUCACCAACAAACCUUGUUUUCUUUUCUCCAUUCUUUCUUCAAAUCCUUCUGGCAAGUAUUCUGCUCUAAAUUCACUUUUUCGUUCAAAACCAACAGGAGGCCUGAUGACCCAGAUGAAAGGUUUCGCACUCUCUUCCAAGCCAAUAGCUAACUCCAUCAUCUGGGAGGGACUUAUGCUGUUUUGAGAACCAAAAGAAAUAUAGAGCACCGAAGCUGGACUGUGCGAUUCAAGCCAUUCCAUGCAUUUCUCAACAGAAAUCUCUGGUCUUUUACCAGCACGUCUUGUGCUUAUUCCUGAUGCAGCUACAGAUAAAGAAGAACAAUCAUUCUUGAGCACAAUUGGUGGCAGAAGAGGCCCUAUAGCCCAGACAGGAAGUUUGACAAAGUUCCUCAACCAUUCCAAUCCUGCAGGCUCAAAUUCCUCAGCUGUAUUGCACAACCACCCAAAAGAUUGCAUUGAAAGUGAGAUCUGUGACUGAAAAAACUCAGACCAAGAAUCAGUGCCAUCAGCAUUUCUUAAGAAAUGAUGCAACUGAUUGACGUGAAAGCGACAGCUAUCAGGAAAUCCCGGCAAAUGAAACUCAUCAGAAUCACUUCUACCUCGAUGAGGAAGAUUGAGCCAAAGAGAUGAGGAAGCCAAGGUUCCAUAAGCACCACCUGUACAGAAAGUGACAUUCACAGUCCCCAGACUGUUCGCAACUUCAGUUGCCCAUCCAAGGAAAACAUCCGAUAUUAUACAAAGUGGGGGGUGACCUUGUUUAGCUGCAAUAUCAGAUACAAGGCUGUGAAAUGGUUUCCUAAGACUUAGUGAUGCAGAUAAAAGUUUGCCAAUCGAAUCCAGAGACAAGUUCUCGGAGUUUUCAGUGUUUGGAGGCAAGCCAUAAUCAGUACUGCAAAAAGGUAGCUCAAGGAGGUGGAUAUGGUCAUUUUCUGGUUCAUCGGACGAGGAGUUGAAGGUGGAAGAAAGGUACUGGAUGUUAAGAGGGGUGCUUGCAAUGGAUAUUUUGAAACCAGUUGCUCGAUGGAUUUGUCUUGCAAGAGCAAGAAAAGGUAUGAGAUGGCCAUGCGCCAUAAACGGGAGCAUCACUAUCUGUUCAAUAGAUUUAGACGCCAUUAAUAAUUUUGUCGAGGUUUGUGCUCAAACUGAAUUUGGCUCAAGAACUGGAUCUACACUGAGAUGGGAGAAGAGUGGUGGCCUCCUUAUAAAGGACCGUUGAAGGAAAGUGAUGGUUGUAAUUAGAGGUGCUGUUUAAAAGAAAUUAACUUAAAAAACUAAAUCGAGAUACUGAUUUAAAAACUAGAAAAAUCACUUGAUCCAGUUCUAUUUUAAUUUCAAAAAUCAAAAAAUAAUUGAAUGGGUUCAACUUAAUUUAAUUUCAUUAAAAAAAAUAAAUAUAAAUAGAACCUCACCCUAAAAUACAUUUUCUAAUAAUUUUGGGACAACUAGGUGCCACGUGGGAUCUCAUAUUGGUGGGAAAGACGACGAAAUUUUAAAAUAUAAAAACAAACGUGCAAGUCUCAAUGUAGGGAUACCAACCUGAGGAGUCAAAAAGUGUCCAGUUCCAAGUAAAUGUACGUCAAAUCAUCCAUCCAGGCUAAGCCCCGUACCAAACACCUUUCAAUAAAAUUGUCAAGCAGCUAAUGUGUCUUUAUCUUAUUUUUAUAUUAUUUGCUUUCUAUUUGUGAAUUCCAUGCUUCUUUUAUAACAUCUAAGAAUGGUGUGAAUUAAGUCUUAAUUGAACAUAGAAUACUUUAAAAAUUAAUCCUUAUAAUUCUUAAAAAUUUGGCAAUAAAUAUCAUGUAUGAAAGCCAAAAAUUAAAUAAGAUAAAGAUCAAGAUAUACACAUCAAAUUUAUAGUGGCUCGAACAAUCGUCAACUUCACUUUUUAAACCACCAUUCAAAAAUUUAAUAUCAAGAUCUUCUUAACGGAUAAAAUCUUACUGAUACACUAAUCUUUUUAAAAUAUUAAAAUUAAAAAAACCCUUCACUCACAAAUCUUUUUAAAUUUUUUCACGUCAACUAUUAUAUGUGAAAAAUCAAUACAUGGCCAUUACACAUACUAAUAAAAAUAGAGUUAGUCGAGGUGCGUGCAAGCUGGUCCGGACACCCACGUUAAUAAAAAAAAUAAAAAUAAAAUGGAGUUAGAUGUUUUGAACUUUCAAAGUGUUUUUCAAUUUUAUUAAAAAUGGCUAUAACCUAUUUUUGGAAGAAAAAAAAAGUUAUUACAAGAUUCAUGUGUGUAAAAUAAGUUUAUCACUCGGUUAAAAAAGGACAAUAGACUUUUAGUGUGAUCAAAGUUUGAAAAAUCAUUUGACCAAGUUUAUGUUAUCCAUUUAAAAGGAUUUUGAGUGAUAAUACCAAAAUAUAUAAUAAUAAAAAAAUUUAUGAGGUGUUUUUCACUAUAUAUUAAUUUCAGAAAUGAAAUUAAUUUUUUGGAUAGUAAAUUCAGCAAUGAAAAAUUAUUUUUGUGAUGCCAAAUUAAAUCCUAUAAGGAUUUGAUGACAUGAAAUUAUAUUUAAGUAUCUUCAAGUCAAGUUUGCGUCCAACAAGUCCAUAUUGCUUCCAUUUGAUAUAGAAAAAUUUCUACAACAUUCAAGCUUUUGACAUACAUAUUAAAUUCACUAAAGCAUCAUUAAUCCAUAGGUGUUAAAGACCCUUAGGCUAACAAUCUGUUUUUUUUUUUUUUUUUUUUUUUUUUUUUUUUUAUGAAGAAAUAAAUUGUGCAAUAAGAAAAUAAAGAUGAUAUUAUCCAAUAAUAUACACCUCCAAUCCCAAACAAGAUGUAUCUCAAAUAUUUGAAGCUCCCCUACCAAUGUGCAUUGUUUGGUAAAAGUUGAUUUAACUUUAAUCUUGAAACAAUAUGUAUCUCCUUGAGAAAAUGAUUUUAUAGGUCCCUAAAUCAACACAAUCUCUUUCCACAUAUGCUUGUUUUGUUUGAGAUAUCAUCUGCAAUCGAUGCUUACUCUUCUCUGGUAACAACCAUGUUAUGUGCAGAAGGGUCCUUGCCUCUUCCUUGGUCUAUCAGGAUGAAAAUUGCUCUUGGAGCUGCGCAAGGUCUUGCUUUCCUUCAUGAGGAGGCUGACAGACCAGCAAUAUAUCGUGAUUUUAAAACAUCUAAUAUAUUAUUAGACGCGGUAUGUGCUUAAUAUAUGCAUGUAUUGGAAAUUACUUCACUAAUCAUUUCCUCUUUUCAGUCCCUCUGAAUUCUGAUACAAGACAAUACUGUUUUAGGACUACAAUUCCAAACUUUCUGAUUUUGGACUUGCCAAGGAUGCUCCUGAUGGAGGCAAAACUCAUGUGUCUACCAGAGUUAUGGGAACCUAUGGCUAUGCUGCCCCAGAAUAUGUGAUGACUGGUGAGUGGACUUUAACUCCUUUCCCUCUACGUGUUAUGUAUAGAUGUAUGGAUACCUUUGAAUGAACGAUAGGAAUUGCCUGUUAGUUGUUGAAUUUCCUUGCAAUGGAUAAGGAGGCAGUCAGUCAAUCAUGUUAAAAAUUGAAUGUUCUAAAUUGUCUGAGGUAAGGAUUUAAACUGCAGCAUUUAGUGUUUGCCUAUAUGAAUAGACUUGGUUAGGACAUGCUUAUUGGUGCAAAUGAACAGAACAAUUGGCGCAACUUUUCAGGCCUGACUGUGUGUGUGUGUAUAUAUAUAUAUAUAUAUAUAUAUAUAUAUAUAUAUAUAAAGGAUUAAAUGCAAUUCAUUUUCAGCCUCAGGAAAUUGGAGUCAAAGAUGACCUUAUAUCUGUUCGGCUCAUUCUACUGCUACAAUAUUCACAACACCACCAUACGCUAGUAUAUGGGUGAAAGGAAAAUCAUGUUCCAUGGCAUUGUGUGAUACUUGUGGGUUUGAAGAUGCCACAAAUCUUAUAUCACUGAGAGGGUAGAGGGGAGAAUGGAGAUCUUUCUAUGAAAGAUAACUCCCUGCAAUUUCGUGGACUUCAGAGCAUGAUUGUAGUGGUCCUCACCUUGUCUGCUACCACCCAAUCUUGCUGGUCUGCCAUGGCAUCAUAUUUCCAAUCUUUAAUUGCCUUCUUCAUCCUAUUCUGAACUUGCUUUGAUGCAAAUGGUUUUCUUUAUCGGAGUUGAUGGAAAAUGGAAAUUCAUAUGUAUCUUGAAGAGGGAAGAGCCAGGCAACAUACGCACACACAUUCUUCCAACGAAAAAAUAUUCAUCUUGGUGCUGAGGCCGGAACCGUGAAGGUUUGGAGGGGAUUUUGCACCCAUCGAGGCUGAGGCCGGCGCUAUUUUCAAGAGUCUAGCUAGUGAAUUCAGACACUGGCACCAUUUUUAGAAGUCUGAUAAUGAAUUCUGACAGUCCGUGUGGGCCGCUGCCUGCAAUAGCUAGUCCCACAAGCUAGUCCGUGUGGGCCGCUGCCUGCAAUAGCUAGUCCGUGUGGGCCGCUAUGGUUGCUUUCUCAUUUAAGUAAAUAAUUUUUUAUUUAUUUUGAAAAUUACAUUUAUGAAUCAAUCUAAUUUUUUAACUUAAACAAAAAAAAAUUAAAAUACUCGUAUAUAAUAUAUCAAAAACAUCAAUAUUAUAAUUUCUUUCUAAUUUUGAUUUCUUUCUCUUCAAAAUCCCUAAUAUUUUUUCUUAAUGAGUCUUCGUUUUCUGCUUUUGUUUUUUUUCAUUUUUUUCCCCAUAUGUUUACAAGAGAUGUUUGUGCAUAUGUGGUUGUAAAAAUGCUAAAACGAAAGGACUUGGGGGCAGUGUCGGCAGAUGAAGCAGAAUCCAGUUGUCGGUGGAAGAAAUCGUGUCUGCUUUCUCGUGUACGUGAAUAGCUACCAUGCCGGGAUGACAAUCCAAACUUUUUGACGGGUUAACCGGUUAACUCAACAUUAUUUGAUUGGUUGUUGGAUUAAUUCGGGUAAAGCAAAAAAAUUAAGAUAUAAGUAAAAACCUAGCAAAACCCGGUUGACCCAUAGGGUUGACCUAUGACCCAAAUACUCAGUAAAAUUUGGUUGAGACUUGUUUUUUUUUCAAAUAUAUUUUUUCUUCCAGUAAGAGCUUCUUUAUUUAUAUAUAUAUAUAUAUAUUAGUUGGUUAUUAAAUCUUUUUAAAGUUCACUAUAUAAAUACUAGAAGAAUAUUUUAUUUUUUCAAUUUGAGAUUUAAAGUCUUUUAGUAUUAUAUUUUAUAUUCACAAGAAAAAAAAUAUUUUUUCAAUGUGAGAUUUCAAACUUUUUAGUGUAUAUAUAUAUAUAUAUAUAUAUAUAUACUCUGUGCUCAUAAGAAAAAAGUUAUGUUUUUUUAGUGUGAGAUAAAAAACUUUUUUGUUUGAAUACUUCAAUUUAAAAGAAUAAUAUACUAAUAUAAUAUCUUUUCACCGUGGAAUAAAAUUUUUUUUGAAAUAAUAUUUUAAAUUUCAUUAUUUAUAACAUGUAUAGCCUAUAUUCACAUGUAUUUUUUUUUUAAUUUUUUCAUAUGAAAUAUUACAACUUCAAAUAUUAUUUUAAAUUUUUUCAGGUUGAUCCAGAUGAACCCGUGUAACUCGAAACCCGACUUAACUCCUAAAUCAGGUCUAAUAACCAUGAUAUAAAGAGUUGCAAAAUUAUAAACUUCAUGACGUCAAUUAUAAUUUCUAGAAGAAGCAAAGCAAAAAAAUAAGCAAAUAUAAUCAUGUAAAUAAUUUAAAUUUUUUUGUUUAUUUUUUUUAUAUAUCAACUUGAAGAUAUAAAGGGUUAUAAACCUAUAAUUGUAAUUUCCAAAACAAGAAAAAAAAAGGCGCAAACUAUAGAAACUGAUUGUAAUUAACCUUAAAUUUAUUUAUAUCAUUUUUAAUCUUUUUAUUACAAUCCAAUUAUUAUGAAUAUUCUAGACUUCCCCUCUCACAGAGUAAUUAAUUAGUACAAGAUUACAAAUUGAAAUCCUUACGAAGUAAAACUGAAGCAAGCAAUAACAACAAACAAGAAGGUUUGUCAUCUUAAUUAAUCCUCAUUACAAAGGAUCAAUCAUAUGAUUAACUGAUACUACUAAUCAUCUGCCAUUUUGAUUGAAGGGUCUUGAUAAGAUCAUCCAGAGCUUAAACAGAAGAUCCUUUGUCUUCUCCUUCAUCUCUCACUGAUGCCCUUAACUGUUCUUUAAUCACCAUUGCCUUGCUCCUCAUAUCACCUCCCUUCCCUUUCUUGUCCAUCACCAACUCUAUCACUUUCUUCACCACCUUCCAAUCUAUGCUGCUCUGCAGUCCUCUUGUCAGCUCCACACUCACACCCAUCUCCUCUACCAGCAUUUUGGAAUUAUAGGCCUGUUCAGCGGCCAAAGGCCAUCCUAUAAUUGGCACAGCUUGGCUCAAGCUUUCCAACACUGAAUUCCACCCACAGUGGCUUAGGAAUGCUCCUGUGGACUUGUGUGACAAAAUCUCCAAUUGGGGCGCCCAGUUCCUCACCAACAAACCUUGUUUUCUUUUCUCCAUUCUUUCUUCAAAUCCUUCUGGCAAGUAUUCUGCUCUAAAUUCACUUUUUGGUUCAAAACCAACAGGAGGCCUGAGACCCAGAUGAAAGGUUUCGCACUCUCUUCCAAGCCAAUAGCUAACUCCAUCAUCUGGGAGGGACUUAUGCUGUUUUGAGAACCAAAAGAAAUAUAGAGCACCGAAGCUGGACUGUGCGAUUCAAGCCAUUCCAUGCAUUUCUCAACAGAAAUCUCUGGUCUUUUACUAGCAUGUCUUGUGCUUAUACCUGAUGCAGCUACAGAUAAAGAAGAAUAAUCAUUCUUGAGCACAAUUGGUGGCAGAAGAGGCCCUAUAGCCCAGACAGGAAGUUUGACAAAGUUCCUCAACCAUUCCAAUCCUGCAGGCUCAAAUUCCUCAGCUGUAUUGCACAACCACCCAAAAGAUUGCAUUGAAAGUGAGAUCUGUGACUGAAAAAACUUAGACCAAGAAUCAGUGCCAUCAGCAUUUCUUAAGAAAUGAUGCAACUGAUUGAUGUGAAAGCGACAGCUAUCAGGAAAUCCCGGCAAAUGAAACUCAUCAGAAUCACUUCUACCUCGAUGAGGAAGAUUGAGCCAAAGAGAUGAGUAAGCCAAGGUUCCAUAAGCACCACCUGUAGAGAAAGUGACAUGAAGUGUUUAAAAGAAAAGUGUUUAAGAGAUGAAAUGAAGAUAGGAAGAAUAGAAGAGACUGUAAAGAUUGAAUUCUUUAUUUAUCCAGAAUGAAUAAUACUGAUUGCAUCUUUCCAUGCAAUCGUUACACAUAUAUAUUCAAAAAUAAAAAAACAGAAUACCAAACUUAUAGCAUGAAAUCAUGCUAUGAUCUGUUAACAUAAUAACAGAAUAACUAAUUCCUAGAGACUAGGAUAAUAGCUUAUUAUUAGCAUGAUAAUUAGAAAUAACAGAAACAAAAAGAUUUGUUGACAGCUCCUUCUUUGACAGCUCCAGGAAGCAAUCUUCAACACUCCUCCUUGCUUGAGGAGCUGCAAACUCCAAUCUUUUGUCUUAAAAAUUCAAACCUGUUUACUGGAAGUGGUUUAGUAAACAGAUCAGCCAAUUGAUUUUCAGACUUGCAAUAAAUCAAUUUAACUUCACCAUUUUUUUGCACCUCACGCAAGAAAUACAGCUUGAUGUUAAAAUGUUUAGUUUUUCCAUGAAACACUGGAUUAUAAGAUAUUGCAAUAGCUCCUUGAUUGUCAACUGAGAUUUCAGUUGCUUCUUCUUCUUCCAUGUAUAAAUCUCGUAACAACUUUUGUAACCACAAUGCUUGAUUCACUGCAGCUGUGGCUGCAAUGAACUCUGCCUCUACAGUAGAUUGAGCCACGAUAUCUUGCUUCUUAGAUGACCAUGAAAAUAUAGCAGAUCCUAGAUUAAAACAGAAUCCAGAGGUACUUCUCAUGUCAUCAAUAGAGUCACCCCAAUCACUGUCAGAAAAACCAUGUAGUUUUAAAUCUUGACACUUCAAAAAUUUAACACCAAAACUGCAUGUUCCUUUGAUGUAUCUCAGAAUUCUUUUAGCUGCUCUCAUAUGAAUUUCGGUUGGACAAUGCAUAAACCGAGAUAGAAUACUUGUUGCAUGAAGUAUGUCAGGUCGAGUUGCUGUUAAAUACAUCAAGCAUCCAAUUAAGCUUCUGAAUUUUUCUUCAUCUACUCUAGCAGUGCCAUCUUCUUUGCUAAACUUGUCCUUUUGAUUCAUAGGAGUAGCUGUUGGCUUGCAAUUAUCCAUCUGGAAUUUCUUCAGGAUUUCCCUUGAAUACUUCUUCUGGCAAAUGAAUAUUUCUUCUCUGUUUUGCAUAAUUUCCAUUCCCAGAAAGAAACUCAUGAGACCAAAGUCGGUCAUUUCAAAGACUUGCAUCAUAUUUAGCUUGAAUUCUGCAACCUGCACUGUAUUGCUUCCUGUCACUAAGAGAUCAUCAACAUAAAGAGAUAUUAUAAGCACAUCAUCGUUGAUUCUCUUCACAUAAAGAGUUGCUUCUGACAAACUCUUCUAAAAUCCAGAACCUGUCAAAUAGUCAUCAAUUCUGCCAUACCAAGCUCUAGGUGCUUGUUUUAAUCCAUAGAGAGCUUUCUUUAGUAGAUAAACUUUGUCUUCUUUUCCUUGAGUCACAAAACCAGCUGGUUGCUCAACAUAAAUUUCUUCUUGUAGAAUGCCAUUCAGGAAAGCUGAUUUAACAUCUAACUGGAAAACUUUCCAGUUCCUGUGUGCAGCAACAGCAAACAAGAAUCGUAUGGUGUCCAUCCUUGCUACAGGUGCAAAUGUGUCUGAAUAAUCAACACCAUAAAUUUGAGCAUAACCCUUAACAACCAGCCUGGCUUUAUACUUGUUGAUGGUACUGUCUGCAUUCAGUUUAGUUCUGAAAAUCCACUUCACGCCAAUAACAUUUUUGCUUGGUGGUCUGUCAACAAGUUCCCAUGUGCAAUUCUUCUCAAUCAUGCAUAUCUCCUCCUGCAUUGCCUUUAGCCAUUCUGGAUUGUGUUUGGCUUCUUCAUAGCCUUCUGGUUCACAAAUAGCUACAUUGCUCCUUUGAUAAAUAUCAUCAAGGGAUCGAGUGCCUCUAAUUGGUGAAUCAUCAAAUGAUUCAUCCUGCAACAAAUCUGACAGCUGCACAUUUCUUUGUGUGUCUCCCCAAUCCCAUUGUUUUUCUUCAUGGAAAUGAACAUCCCUUGUAAUAACCAUCUUCUGAGUUUGAGGAUGAUAAACUUUGUAGGCUUUAGACACAUCACUGUAGCCAACAAAAAUUCCUGGCAUUGCCUUCCUGUCAAGCUUGUCUCUUUUGACCUGUGGAACAUGAACAAAACAAAUGCUGCCAAAGAUCUUAAGAAAACUUAAUGAAGGUUUGUUGUCAUACCAAACUUCAAAAGGAGUCUUCUCUUCCAGUAAUUUUGUUGGAAGUCGGUUUUGAAGGAAGACAGCUGUGUUGGCUGCUUCUGCCCAAAAGAUCUUUUGCAAAUUCUUUUCAUAUAGUAUGCAUCUCACCAUCUCCAUAAUGUAUCGAUUUCUUCUUUCACUGACUCCAUUCUGUUCAGGAGUGUAAGGGGCAGUGAAUUGAUGUUCAAUGCCAGCUUCUUCACAGUAGAGAUUGAAUUCUGAUGAGGUGUAUUCUGUACCAUUGUCUGACCGAAUGGAUUGAAUUUUACAUCUGCUUUUAUUCUCCACAUUCUUCUUGAAUUGCCAAAAAAUCCCAGCUACUUCUGACUUGUAUUUCAUGAAGAAGAUCCAACACAUUCUGGUGAAGUCAUCAAUAAAAAGUAUGUAAUAUCGACUACCUUUUAUUGAAGGUGUGCUAAGUGGACCAGCAACAUCUGUAUGGAUCAACUGAAGUUUCUGUGUAGAUCUCCAUGUUGACUUUGGAAAUGGUUUUCUGUUUUGCUUACCGAAUUGACAAGCAUUACAAUUUGGCAGCAAAUCAGUAAAUGAAGGCACUCCUCUUACAGCUUCAUGCUUCUUCAUCCGCUGUUGAUGACAGUGACCCAACCUUUUAUGCCAUACUUCCAUGUCAUUCAGUUUUGUGGGAAAGGCUGUGUGCUCCUCCUCAAAUGGUAAAAAUGAAAAACCUUUUCCUCUCAUUUUGGCUUGCAAUAUUUUUUGUCCAGCAGCGUCAAAAAUAUAGCAAGAUUGAUUUUCGAAAACCACUUUCAUGCCUUUCUCCAUUAAUUGUCCAACACUCAACAAAUUUUGAUCUAUAUCAGGUACAUAAAGAACAUCAGAAAUAGUUUUUGUACCUGAGUUGGUAGUGAUGGCAACCGUUCCUUUUCCCUUUGCUGCUAUACAAUCACCAUUUCCAAUUCUGACCUUUGCAACUUCAGUAGUUUGCAAAUUUCUGAAGAGACUCUUAUCAAAAGUCAUGUGAUUUGUGCAUCCACUGUCAAUUAGCCAGUGAUCUGAGGAAGUCUGGACUGAAAAACAUGUAGCUACAAACAGUUGAUCUUCAUCAUCUUGACUGGCAACCUGAGCAUCUUCAUUCUGCUGUUUCUGAAACUUUGUUCUGCAGAUGAUUGCUUCAUGUCCCAUUUGAUGACAUUUACUGCAUUUUGCAUCAGGUCUUUUCCAGCACUUGAAUGGUGGAUGACCUAACUUGUUGCAGUGUUGACAUGGUGGAAAGUUUCUUUUAAGAAAUUUUCCUCUGUUCUGGAAUUGAUUGACAGUAGUCUUACUACUGUUUGAAACCUGAUUCUGCUUGAAGAAUUUCUUCUUGUCAGAAUCGGGAUACUUUGCUUGUAAAGCUCCUUCAGUAACUCGAUCUUGCCUCAUAAGUCGCCUUUGCUCUUGAGCCUGCAAGGCAUUUAUCAAUUCUGCCAAGGUAAUCUUGGACAGAUCCUUUGUAUUCUCCAAGGUGGUUAUGGAUGCUUCAUAACGUUCAGGCACAGUUACAAGUAUUUUCUCUACAAUUCUGCAAUCAGAGAAGGUUGUGCCAAGUAAUCUUACCUUGUUGACAAUUCCAAGUAAUUUGUCUGAAUACUCUUUGAUGGUUUCAGAAUCCUUCAUUCUUUGUAGUUCAAAUUCUCUUAUUAGAUUAAGACUUUGCAUGCCACGAAUUCUUUCAUCUCCAGCAUACUCCUUCUUCAAAUAAUCCCAAACAUCUUUUGCUGAUUUAAGAGACAUAAUCCUGGUGAAGAUUGUUGUGGAAACAACUGCAAAUAGACAAGCUUUUGCUUUUGAUUUCCUUGUUUUUCUCUCUUUAUGAUUUUUUAUCUGAGCAACUGUUGGAUUAUUUGGCAAAGGAUGAACUUCAUAGUCUUCUUCAACAGCUUCCCAAAGAUCCAACACCUCCAAAUAAGUCUCCAUUUUUACUGCCCAGAGUUGAUAAUUUUCUCCAUCAAAGAUGGGAGAAGAAAUUUGAGAGAAACUUGUUUCAGCCUCCAUUACAGGUCCCUUUAAGAUAAUUGCUCUGAUACCAAUUGAAAGUGUUUAAAAGAAAAGUGUUUAAGAGAUGAAAUGAAGAUAGGAAGAAUAGAAGAGACUGUAAAGAUUGAAUUCUUUAUUUAUCCAGAAUGAAUAAUACUGAUUGCAUCUUUCCAUGCAAUCGUUACACAUAUAUAUUCAAAAAUAAAAAAACAGAAUACCAAACUUAUAGCAUGAAAUCAUGCUAUGAUCUGUUAACAUAAUAACAGAAUAACUAAUUCCUAGAGACUAGGAUAAUAGCUUAUUAUUAGCAUGAUAAUUAGAAAUAACAGAAACAAAAAGAUUUGUUGACAGCUCCUUCUUUGACAGCUCCAGGAAGCAAUCUUCAACACAUUCACAGUCCCCAGACAGCUCGCAACUUCAGUUGCCCAUCCAAGGAAAACAUCUGAUAUUAUACAAAGUGGGGGGUGACCUUGUUUAGCUGCAAUAUCAGAUACAAGGCUGUGAAAUGGUUUCUUAAGACUUAGCGAUGGAGAGAAAAGUUUGCCAAUCGAAUCCAGAGACAAGUUCUCGGAGUUUUCAGUGUUUGGAGGCAAGCCAUAAUCAGUACUGCAAAAAGGUAGCUCAAGGAGGUGGAUAUGGUCAUUUUCUGGUUCAUCGGAGGAGGAGUUGAAGGUGGAAGAAAGGUACUGGAUGUUGAGAGGGGUGCUUGCAAUGGAUAUUUUGAAACCAGUUGCUUGAUGGAUCUGUCUUGCAAGAGCAAGAAAAGGUAUGAGAUGGCCAUGCGCCAUAAACGGGAGCAUCACUAUCUGUUCAAUAGAUUUAGACGCCAUUAAUAAUUUUGUCGAGGUUUGUGCUCAAACUGAAUUUGGCUCAAGAACUGGAUCUACACUGAGAUGGGAGAAGAGUGCUGGCCUCCUUACAAAGGACCGUUGAAGGAAAGUUGUUCUUAAUUUAUUUAGGCAUUAAAGUGAUGGAUUGGUUGUCAUUAGAGGUGCUGUUUAAAAGAAAUUAACUUAAAAAACUAAAUUGAGAUACUGAUUCAAGAACUAGAAAAAUCACGUAGUCCGGUUUUAUUUUAAUUUCAAAAAUCUAAAAAUGAUUGAAUGAGUUCAACUCAAUUUAAUUUCAUUAAAAAUAUAAAUAGAACCUAACCCUAAAAUACUUUUUCUAAUAAAUUUGGGACAACUAGGUGCCACGUGGGUCUCAUAUUGGUGGGAAAGACGACGAAAUUCCCCGACAUAGAGGAUAAUGUCGUAAAGAUGAUGCAGUCCAAUGCAUCGGUAAUGCACACAUUUGAUCCCUGUUUUGUAUCCUUUCCUUUAAAUCCAAGCCUUCUUCAAACACUAUACAAAGAUUGGACAUAUGAUGAGGACAACCACUGAGGAGCUCGUGCGUCUCCAUAUAACCAGCCUCGGCAGUCACCAAAACCUAGAGGGAAAAACCAGUGUUAUUAAACCCGGCCCGGCGGGUUGAUCCGGGACCCGUUUGAUCUGGUGGCUGAACCGAUCUCGGUUUACUAAAAGACCAGCUGGGGCAAUAGCCUGGUCAAACCUGGGCGAACCGGCGGGUCGACCCAUGACCCGGGCGAACCCGGACGAGACCCAGUUUUUUUUCCCUUCAAAUAUGGGAUUUGAAACCCAUUAGUAUAUAACUAUAUAUACUCUAUGUUCUCAAGAAAAAAGUCAUGUUUUUUCAAUGUGGGAUAAAAAACUUUUUGGUUUAAAUACUUCAACUUAAAAGGAUAACAAAUAUCUUUUCAAUGUGGGAUUUGAAGCCCUUUCGCAUAUAUACUCUAUGUUCCCAUGAAAAAAGUUAUGUUUUUUCAAUGUAGGAUUUGAAACCUGUUAGUAUAUAUACUCUAUGUUUUCAAGAAAAAAAUCAUGUUUUUUCAAUAUGGGAUAAAAAACCUUUUGGUUUAAAUACUUCAACUUAAAAUGAUAACAUAGUAUCUUCUCAAUAUGAGAUUUGAAGUCCUUUCGUAUAUAUAUUUUAUGUUCCCAUGAAAGAAGUUAUAUUUUUUCAAUGUGGGAUUUGAAACUUAUUAGUAUAUAUACUCUAUGUUCCCAAGAAAAAAAUUAUGUUUUUUCGAUGUGGGAUUAAAAACUUUUUUAGUUUAAAUACUUCAACUUAAAAGCUUAACACAAUAUCUUUUUAAUGUGGGAUAAAAAACUUUUUAAAAUAUUCUUUUAAAUUUCAUUGUUUACAAUAUGUAUAACCUAUAUUUACAUUAAUUUUUUCAUAUGAAAUAUUAAAACUUUAAUUUUUUUUUUAAUUUUUAUGGGUUGAUCCGGGUUGACCCGAGUUGACCCAUGAAACCCGGGACCCGGCCCCUGGCCAGGUUUGAUAACUAUGGGAAAAACCUAUAGAAAUUAUUUGGAAGUGUGGUUGCGGUUGUUUUUUAAAGUUUUUUUCAUGCUGAAAUGCAUUAAAAUGAUAUUUUUUUUAUUUUAAAAAAAUUAUUUUUGAGAUUAACGCAUCAAAAUAAUCCAAAAUAUAUCUAAAAAAAUUAAAUUUUUUUAAAAUAUAAAUUGACUCGCAUUUGCAAACAUAGCUUUUUGGCAGUGGCUUCAGCAGUUUGAAAUAGCACUGAGGUUUGUUCCAUCAUUAGUCUGAGAAGUGACGUCUGGUCAUUUGUUAUUCAUCCACCAUGUUCAAUCAGUAAAAUGAUGGAACGAGCCUCCUGCUUUAUGUGGUGGCUUGUGAUUGGUAAUCAUCGAAAUGCAUCUAUUCUCUAUUCUUACCUCUCUAAUGCAUCGACUCUUGAGUAGGAAAUUAUACACUGGACACUGGAAAGAUACUGAAGUCAAGUGGUGAUGCAGAGGGAGGUGGGGGUGUGAACAGAUGUUAGUAAGCUUGAUUGUAAAUUGAAGAGAAAGGAAGUGUGAG
RNAcentral lists this long non-coding RNA (22060 nucleotides) under Populus trichocarpa (black cottonwood). RNAcentral describes it as "long non-coding RNA (PTRI_LNC003827)". Lineage: Eukaryota; Viridiplantae; Streptophyta; Magnoliopsida; Malpighiales; Salicaceae. The record is from RNAcentral.